Molecule: transfer RNA, 82 nt
Filed under: Dreissena polymorpha
Lineage: Eukaryota; Metazoa; Mollusca; Bivalvia; Myida; Dreissenidae
Rfam family: tRNA
About the family: Transfer RNA (tRNA) molecules are approximately 80 nucleotides in length. Their secondary structure includes four short double-helical elements and three loops (D, anti-codon, and T loops).
Source: Rfam by way of RNAcentral
GUUGUCGUGGCCGAGUGGUCAAGGCGAUGGACUUCAAUUCUUUUGGGAUCUUCCCGCGCAGGUUCGAAUCCUGCCGACAUCG